CUCUUGAUGAGUAAACACAACUGAAUCACUCUUGUGAUUAUUUCUCUCCGUAUUCAGAUAAGAAAACAACUGAUCAAGAAAACACAGGAGAGACGGUGAGAGACGAGACAGGAAGGCAUGUGAGAGAGAGAGAGAGAGGGGCGGACAGAAAAGGACAGCAGGCCAUACUCAAACCCAGGUCGGCGUUGGAAGGAAAGAGCUUCACAGGACACUAGCCACUGGGGCUCCUCGGUUUUUAUCGUUCUGUAAGGUAACUGCUCAUGGGAUGGCAGUGUAAACUUUGUACAUCUGUGGCAUCAUCAACGGGGGGACUUCUCAAACACUAUCAACUAAAACACGGACUUUUAGGUCGUGGACAUUUUCUGCCCUGCAUUCAUUUGGACUGUCAAUGUUCUUUUAAAACUUGGGGUGGUUUACGUACACACUUGUAUAGAGCUCACAAAUCAGAGGAAACUGAAAAACAGAAAGAUGUGAAAGCUUUCAAAUGUAAAAUUUGUGACUCAUGUUUUUCAAAUACCAAGGAUUAUUUUUAACACAUUAAAUUUGAAAAGUUUAGAAACAAUAGAGUGUUUGUUUGAUGGUUGUGAUUUCAAAAAUAACAUAUAUGGGACUUAUGCUACACACAAAAGCCGAAAGCACCAAUCCUACUCAUGUAAUGACUUAAAAGCUGAUGUUAUUGUAAAACUUCCUGUUUCUACCAGUGUUGUAUUUUUGAAACCGGGCUUUAUUUUUCAGUGUCUUUUAAUUUGAACACACAUUUACAACACAUAACGGACAAGUUCCUUAUCCGUAGCCCAUUACUUAAAUAGUACAUGUAAUUCAAAGUAGUUAUGUGUAAAAAAAAAUCAUACGUAUGUAUUCACACUGCCUGCAGAUGGUGUCCUUGUGUGUAAAUGUAGAAUGCUAACUGAGGUAUUCUUGAGUGUAAAUGAUUGAUAAGGACAGUUAUUUUUUGUUUUUGCCACUUAAAAGUUCAGAUGGUUGUAAGUCUGACAACAUUGUGGAUAGCAUUCCUAGAGAGAGACAUGUCUUUUGUUAAAAAGUAAACUGUUAAAAUUUCUUGGUGAUACCACUUGGCUGACUACUGUAUUGUGUGUUUCACACAACAAGUCGCAAGACAGUUAGAAAUAAUUGUCAAUAUUAAAUGACAGUUAGUGAUGGUUAAAGAUAAAAAGCACAAUUGAACUCCCAUUGGCCGUAGUGAGUGGUGGAGUUUGCUCCAGUUCUUUUAGAAAUGUGGCCAAAUUCUGAGAUAUUUGCAAAAUGUUCUUGUUUAAAUGCAUUGUUUUGUUAUUACUUGCACUAUACUGUGUCAGUAAUGUUUCUGCUAUUGUUUCACAUGUGCAUGCAGGUCUGAAAUAAGCAGUUUUCAUUUAAAUACCUCAAAUCUGAUGCAGGAAAGUAUUUUAUGUGGAAAAA
This is a long non-coding RNA of Labrus bergylta (ballan wrasse), 1419 nucleotides long. RefSeq lists it as uncharacterized. The record is from RefSeq and is a predicted model, not a curated record. Lineage: Eukaryota; Metazoa; Chordata; Actinopteri; Labriformes; Labridae.